UACUAACCACAACCAUAAUAACAAUAAUCAUAGUUUUUAAAAAUGCAUUUUUUCUAAAUUUGAGUGUAUUCGGUGAUUUUAAAAUGAGGUAUAAGGAUAUCAGACACAUUUUUCAAAAGCCUUAAACUUGUUUCUUUAAAUAUUAUACUAACAUCCAACUUGUUUUUUUAAAUAAUGAAAG
Molecule: long non-coding RNA, 181 nt
Organism: Phyllostomus discolor (pale spear-nosed bat)
Lineage: Eukaryota; Metazoa; Chordata; Mammalia; Chiroptera; Phyllostomidae
Exons: 3
Source: RefSeq, a predicted model, not a curated record